CCUUCUUUUAGGGUAUGCCUGCCUUCCUGGAUUGGAUCAGACUGCAUCUGCCUCUUCAUGGCAAGAAUUUCCCUCCUCCUCUCAUUUUCUGGAACAGGACAGUCUAAUGCCACGUAACAAUUUUCCACUUGAAGAUAAACACACAUCUUCCUCAUUCCUAGUGCUCACAUGGAGGAAGAAAGCUCGGCUGUGGGCUGUGACAGUGCAGAACAUAUGGACUAUGGAGAAUACCAUACAUCUAGCAUAAUCUUAAUAAAUGGAAUUUAAGUAAAUGGAUGCUCAAAGAAGAGACCUUCUGGAAAAGGGAAAAGAGAAAAAGCUUUGGAAACAGUCAGAAAUUGUUUCUAUAAUACAUCUGCCAAGUGUCCUGGCUCAUGAUUAUAAUUCUAGCAUUUUGGAAGGCUGAGGUGGGCAGAUUGUUUGAAUCCAGGAGUUUGAGACUAGCCUGGGCAACAUGGCAAAACACUGUCUCUACGAAAAAUGCAAAAAUUAUCUGAGUAUGGUGGCACAUGCAUGUAGUCCUAGCUACUUGAGAGACUGAGGUGGGAGGAUCACCUAAGCCUGGGCAGGUCAAGGCUGCAGUGAGCUGUGAUCAUACCACUGCACUCCAACCUGGGCAAUAGAGUGAGACCCUGUCUGUCUGUUUCUCUCUCUCUCUCUCAAAAAUAAUAAUAUAUCUGCCACUUAAAAGCUUAGUUAGUCCUUUGCUUUUAUAUCUGCAAAUGGGGCCGGUA
This 734-nucleotide long non-coding RNA is filed under the name Macaca mulatta (Rhesus monkey). Its description in RNAcentral is "lncRNA (ENSMMUG00000062658.1)". Lineage: Eukaryota; Metazoa; Chordata; Mammalia; Primates; Cercopithecidae. The record is from RNAcentral.